GAUGAACGCUGGCGGCGUGCCUAAUACAUGCAAGUCGAGCGAACAGACGAGGAGCUUGCUCCUUUGACGUUAGCGGCGGACGGGUGAGUAACACGUGGAUAACCUACCUAUAAGACUGGGAUAACUUCGGGAAACCGGAGCUAAUACCGGAUAACAUGUUGAACCGCAUGGUUCAACAGUGAAAGACGGUCUUGUUGUCACUUAUAGAUGGAUCCGCGCCGCAUUAGCUAGUUGGUAAGGUAACGGCUUACCAAGGCAACGAUGCGUAGCCGACCUGAGAGGGUGAUCGGCCACACUGGAACUGAGACACGGUCCAGACUCCUACGGGAGGCAGCAGUAGGGAAUCUUCCGCAAUGGGCGAAAGCCUGACGGAGCAACGCCGCGUGAGUGAAGAAGGUCUUCGGAUCGUAAAACUCUGUUAUUAGGGAAGAACAAAUGUGUAAGUAACUAUGCACGUCUUGACGGUACCUAAUCAGAAAGCCACGGCUAACUACGUG
This 497-nucleotide ribosomal RNA is filed under the name uncultured bacterium. RNAcentral's name for it is "partial 16S ribosomal RNA". It matches the Rfam family "Bacterial small subunit ribosomal RNA", at positions 28 to 507 of the family's 1533-position model. The record is from RNAcentral.